RNAcentral lists this ribosomal RNA (497 nucleotides) under uncultured bacterium. RNAcentral describes it as "partial 16S ribosomal RNA". It matches the Rfam family "Bacterial small subunit ribosomal RNA", at positions 28 to 507 of the family's 1533-position model. The record is from RNAcentral.
GAUGAACGCUGGCGGCGUGCCUAAUACAUGCAAGUCGAGCGAACAGACGAGGAGCUUGCUCCUCUGACGUUAGCGGCGGACGGGUGAGUAACACGUGGAUAACCUACCUAUAAGACUGGGAUAACUUCGGGAAACCGGAGCUAAUACCGGAUAAUAUAUUGAACCGCAUGGUUCAAUAGUGAAAGACGGUUUUGCUGUCACUUAUAGAUGGAUCCGCGCCGCAUUAGCUAGUUGGUAAGGUAACGGCUUACCAAGGGAACGAUGCGUAGCCGACCUGAGAGGGUGAUCGCCCACACUGGAACUGAGACACGGUCCAGACUCCUACGGGAGGCAGCAGUAGGGAAUCUUCCGCAAUGGGCGAAAGCCUGACGGAGCAACGCCGCGUGAGUGAUGAAGGUCUUCGGAUCGUAAAACUCUGUUAUUAGGGAAGAACAAAUGUGUAAGUAACUAUGCACGUCUUGACGGUACCUAAUCAGAAAGCCACGGCUAACUACGUG